GAUGAACGCUGGCGGCGUGCCUAAUACACGCAAGUCGAGCGAACGGACGAGAAGCUUGCUUCUCUGAUGUUAGCGGCGGACGGGUGAGUAACACGUGGAUAACCUACCUAUAAGACUGGGAUAACUUCGGGAAACCGGAGCUAAUACCGGAUAAUAUUUUGAACCGCAUGGUUCAAAAGUGAAAGACGGUCUUGCUGUCACUUAUAGAUGGAUCCGCGCUGCAUUAGCUAGUUGGUAAGGUAACGGCUUACCAAGGCAACGAUGCAUAGCCGACCUGAGAGGGUGAUCGGCCACACUGGAACUGAGACACGGUCCAGACUCCUACGGGAGGCAGCAGUAGGGAAUCUUCCGCAAUGGGCGAAAGCCUGACGGAGCAACGCCGCGUGAGUGAUGAAGGUCUUCGGAUCGUAAAACUCUGUUAUUAGGGAAGAACAUAUGUGUAAGUAACUGUGCACAUCUUGACGGUACCUAAUCAGAAAGCCACGGCUAACUACGUGCCAGCAGCCGCGGUAAUACGUAGGUGGCAAGCGUUAUCCGGAAUUAUUGGGCGUAAAGCGCGCGUAGCGGUUUUUUAAGUCUGAUGUGAAAGCCCACGGCUCAACCGUGGAGGGUCAUUGGAAACUGGAAAACUUGAGUGCAGAAGAGGAAAGUGGAAUUCCAUGUGUAGCGGUGAAAUGCGCAGAGAUAUGGAGGAACACCAGUGGCGAAGGCGACUUUCUGGUCUGUAACUGACGCUGAUGUGCGAAAGCGUGGGGAUCAAACAGGAUUAGAUACCCUGGUAGUCCACGCCGUAAACGAUGAGUGCUAAGUGUUAGGGGGUUUCCGCCCCUUAGUGCUGCAGCUAACGCAUUAAGCACUCCGCCUGGGGAGUACGACCGCAAGGUUGAAACUCAAAGGAAUUGACGGGGACCCGCACAAGCGGUGGAGCAUGUGGUUUAAUUCGAAGCAACGCGAAGAACCUUACCAAAUCUUGACAUCCUUUGACAACUCUAGAGAUAGAGCUUUCCCCUUCGGGGGACAAAGUGACAGGUGGUGCAUGGUUGUCGUCAGCUCGUGUCGUGAGAUGUUGGGUUAAGUCCCGCAACGAGCGCAACCCUUAAGCUUAGUUGCCAUCAUUAAGUUGGGCACUCUAAGUUGACUGCCGGUGACAAACCGGAGGAAGGUGGGGAUGACGUCAAAUCAUCAUGCCCCUUAUGAUUUGGGCUACACACGUGCUACAAUGGACAAUACAAAGGGCAGCGAAACCGCGAGGUCAAGCAAAUCCCAUAAAGUUGUUCUCAGUUCGGAUUGUAGUCUGCAACUCGACUACAUGAAGCUGGAAUCGCUAGUAAUCGUAGAUCAGCAUGCUACGGUGAAUACGUUCCCGGGUCU
Molecule: ribosomal RNA, 1371 nt
Filed under: uncultured bacterium
Lineage: Bacteria
Description: bacterial SSU rRNA
Rfam family: Bacterial small subunit ribosomal RNA
Source: RNAcentral